RNAcentral lists this ribosomal RNA (253 nucleotides) under uncultured Eubacteriales bacterium. Its description in RNAcentral is "uncultured Clostridiales bacterium partial 16S ribosomal RNA". It matches the Rfam family "Bacterial small subunit ribosomal RNA", at positions 524 to 776 of the family's 1533-position model. The record is from RNAcentral. Lineage: Bacteria; Bacillati; Bacillota; Clostridia; Eubacteriales.
UACGUAGGGGGCAAGCGUUAUCCGGAUUUACUGGGUGUAAAGGGAGCGUAGACGGUUUUUCAAGUCUGAAGUGAAAGCCCGCGGCUCAACUGCGGAACGGCUUUGGAAACUGAGGGACUAGAGUGCAGGAGAGGUAAGCGGAAUUCCUAGUGUAGCGGUGAAAUGCGUAGAUAUUAGGAGGAACACCAGUGGCGGAGGCGGCUUACUGGACGGUAACUGACGCUGAGGCUCGAAAGCGUGGGGAGCAAACAGG